UACGAGGGGGGCAAGCGUUGUUCGGAAUUAUUGGGCGUAAAGCGCGCGCAGGCGGUCUUCCAAGUCAGUGGUGAAAGCCCGGAGCUCAACUCCGGAACUGCCAUUGAAACUGUAAGACUUGAGGAUGAGAGAGGUGAGUGGAAUUCCCAGUGUAGAGGUGAAAUUCGUAGAUAUUGGGAAGAACACCGGUGGCGAAGGCGGCCCACUGGCUCAUAUCUGACGCUCAGGCGCGACAGCGUGGGGAUCAAACAGG
RNAcentral lists this ribosomal RNA (253 nucleotides) under uncultured bacterium. RNAcentral's name for it is "partial 16S ribosomal RNA". It matches the Rfam family "Bacterial small subunit ribosomal RNA", at positions 524 to 776 of the family's 1533-position model. The record is from RNAcentral.